Molecule: RNA transcript, 394 nt
Organism: Zea mays
Lineage: Eukaryota; Viridiplantae; Streptophyta; Magnoliopsida; Poales; Poaceae
Exons: 3
Source: RefSeq, a predicted model, not a curated record
GGUUCCCCUUAGACCAUGACGCUUGGAUUCAAUUGGAUGGAAUUCUACCAUCUUUGAAAAAGUUCUGCAAGCUAGCAGAGUUGCUUGAUAUGUCAUUGAAGUCCAUCGCAACAUGUUGGGAAAGUGGAGACCUAGUUAGAUGUGGUUUCACAUCAUCUGAGGUGCAGAAUUUCAUCAAAGCAAUAUUCGCUGACUCGCCUCUUAGGAAGGAGUGCCUAGGAUGGAUCGUUAGGACUCCAGCUUAGAAUACAGAAACAGCAUAUUUCUGUCUGUGGGUCAAUGAUUUUUUUUCAUAUUCUUUUGUCCACCAUACCAUAUAGUGAAGUAUUAUUUGGUAUGAGCCCAGUUUGCACUGGAGACAGACUUGCAAUCUGACUCCCCAGUUCAAUACUCA